ACGGAACACCCUUGACAGAGGUUUCGGCCAAUGAAGAGGAAUGUUUAGUGGCGGACUGGUGAGUAACGCGUGAGGAACCUGCCUUUCAGAGGGGGACAACAGUUGGAAACGACUGCUAAUACCGCAUGAAGCAGCGAGGGGACAUCCCCUUGCUGUUAAAGAUUUAUCGCUGAAAGAUGGCCUCGCGUCUGAUUAGCUAGUUGGUGGGGUAACGGCCCACCAAGGCGACGAUCAGUAGCCGGACUGAGAGGUUGACCGGCCACAUUGGGACUGAGAUACGGCCCAGACUCCUACGGGAGGCAGCAGUGGGGAAUAUUGGGCAAUGGACGCAAGUCUGACCCAGCAACGCCGCGUGAAGGAAGAAGGCUUUCGGGUUGUAAACUUCUUUUAACAGGGAAGAGUAGAAGACGGUACCUGUUGAAUAAGCCACGGCUAACUACGUGCCAGCAGCCGCGGUAAUACGUAGGUGGCAAGCGUUGUCCGGAUUUACUGGGUGUAAAGGGCGUGUAGCCGGGAAGGCAAGUCAGAUGUGAAAUCUGGAGGCUCAACCUCCAAACUGCAUUUGAAACUGCUUUUCUUGAGUAUCGGAGAGGUAAUCGGAAUUCCUUGUGUAGCGGUGAAAUGCGUAGAUAUAAGGAAGAACACCAGUGGCGAANGCGGAUUACUGGACGACAACUGACG
This 681-nucleotide ribosomal RNA is filed under the name uncultured bacterium. Its description in RNAcentral is "bacterial SSU rRNA". It matches the Rfam family "Bacterial small subunit ribosomal RNA", at positions 59 to 745 of the family's 1533-position model. The record is from RNAcentral.